CGAAACGCGGUGAAGUAGCGGGGGUAAUACGGGGGGUAGGUGUGGUAACCGGAAUUAGUGGGCGUAAAGCAUGCUCAGUCGGUGUGUGGGUGCGGAUGUUAAAACGCUGUGGCUUAACCGUGGGCCUGCAUGCGAUACGGGCAAACUAGAGGGGGGUAGGGGGGACUGGAACACCUGGUGUAGCCGUGGAAUGCGCAGAUAUCAGGAAGAACACCGAUGGCGAAGGCAGGUCUCUGGGCCAUAACUGACGCUGAGGUGCGAAAGCGUGGGGAGCAAACAGGAUUAGAUACCCUUGUAGUC
Molecule: ribosomal RNA, 300 nt
Filed under: uncultured Bacillus sp.
Lineage: Bacteria; Bacillati; Bacillota; Bacilli; Caryophanales; Bacillaceae
Description: partial 16S ribosomal RNA
Rfam family: Bacterial small subunit ribosomal RNA
Source: RNAcentral